AGUGAACGCUGGCGGUAGGCCUAACACAUGCAAGUCGAACGGCAGCACAGUAAGAGCUUGCUCUUACGGGUGGCGAGUGGCGGACGGGUGAGGAAUACAUCGGAAUCUACUUUUUCGUGGGGGAUAACGUAGGGAAACUUACGCUAAUACCGCAUACGACCUACGGGUGAAAGCAGGGGAUCUUCGCACCUUGCGCGAUUGAAUGAGCCGAUGUCGGAUUAGCUAGUUGGCGGGGUAAAGGCCCACCAAGGCGACGAUCCGUAGCUGAUCUGAGAGGAUGAUCAGCCACACUGGAACUGAGACACGGUCCAGACUCCUACGGGAGGCAGCAGUGGGGAAUAUUGGACAAUGGGCGAAAGCCUGAUCCAGCCAUACCGCGUGGGUGAAGAAGGCCUUCGGGUUGUAAAGCCCUUUUGUUGGGAAAGAAAAGCAGCAGGUUAAUACCCCGAUGUUCUGACGGUACCCAAAGAAUAAGCACCGGCUAACUUCGUG
RNAcentral lists this ribosomal RNA (492 nucleotides) under uncultured bacterium. Its description in RNAcentral is "partial 16S ribosomal RNA". It matches the Rfam family "Bacterial small subunit ribosomal RNA", at positions 29 to 507 of the family's 1533-position model. The record is from RNAcentral.